RNAcentral lists this ribosomal RNA (396 nucleotides) under uncultured bacterium. Its description in RNAcentral is "bacterial SSU rRNA". It matches the Rfam family "Bacterial small subunit ribosomal RNA", at positions 975 to 1375 of the family's 1533-position model. The record is from RNAcentral.
CUACCCUUGACAUGUACGGAAGCCCCGAGAGAUCGGGGCGUGCUCGAAAGAGAGCCGUAACACAGGUGCUGCAUGGCUGUCGUCAGCUCGUGUCGUGAGAUGUUGGGUUAAGUCCCGCAACGAGCGCAACCCUUGUCAUUAGUUGCUACGAAAGGGCACUCUAAUGAGACUGCCGGUGACAAACCGGAGGAAGGUGGGGAUGACGUCAAGUCCUCAUGGCCCUUAUGGGUAGGGCUUCACACGUCAUACAAUGGUACAUACAGAGGGCCGCCAACCCGCGAGGGGGAGCUAAUCCCAGAAAGUGUAUCGUAGUCCGGAUUGCAGUCUGCAACUCGACUGCGUGAAGUUGGAAUCGCUAGUAAUCGCGGAUCAGCAUGUCGCGGUGAAUACGUUCUC